This 253-nucleotide ribosomal RNA is filed under the name uncultured bacterium. RNAcentral's name for it is "partial 16S ribosomal RNA". It matches the Rfam family "Bacterial small subunit ribosomal RNA", at positions 524 to 776 of the family's 1533-position model. The record is from RNAcentral.
UACGUAGGGUGCAAGCGUUGUCCGGAAUUAUUGGGCGUAAAGAGCUCGUAGGCGGCUUGUCACGUCGACUGUGAAAACCCGGGGCUCAACUCCGGGCCUGCAGUCGAUACGGGCUGGCUUGAGUGCGGUAGGGGAGACUGGAAUUCCUGGUGUAGCGGUGAAAUGCGCAGAUAUCAGGAGGAACACCGGUGGCGAAGGCGGGUCUCUGGGCCGUAACUGACGCUGAGGUGCGAAAGCGUGGGGAGCGAACAGG